RNAcentral lists this long non-coding RNA (1058 nucleotides) under Pan troglodytes (chimpanzee). RNAcentral describes it as "lincRNA". The record is from RNAcentral. Lineage: Eukaryota; Metazoa; Chordata; Mammalia; Primates; Hominidae.
GUCUGGCCAUGUGGGAUGUCUGUUCCUCGUUUCCCUCCUGCCAUGGCUGUUAAGUUUCCUGAGGCUUCACCAGAAACCAAGAGGAUUCCAGCACCACGCUUCCUGUGUAGCCUGGAGAACUCCAAGAAGGAUCGUGUCAGUCCUGCAACUUGUCAGUGGAAUUAAAUUUCAGGCGUUUUAAAGAUAAAUGGUAAAACUGAACUGGAAAUCCAUCUGGCCGGCUGCCUGCUCUAAUGAAUAACCCCACUUUGGCUCGUGCAAUGACUUCUUCCCUUUGGAAUGCAAGUGCGGUGGCAGUGUCAAGGAUGCCUGUGUGUUUGCAGCAGGUUCCUUCCAGAAGCAGCUGCAAGUGCCACCUCCAGGCCAUCUGGCCAAUGUGAGGAAAGGAGGCUGCAAGGGCUUGGCAAAAAACAACUUUCUGUUCCUCUGGUAUCCCCUGAUAACUGAUUUCAAGUUAUGGCCAAGGACUGCCUUAUCGCUAUCAGUGGCUGUCAAAAAUUUAUAAGUAUAUUCAUUUCCCUAUUCAACUUAAUUGGUAUUUUGGAUUUGACACUAGAAAAGCAAGUUUGACUUGCCUGUUGGAGUCCAAGGAUACCUCCAACAAAAUUCUAGACAAUGAAAGAAAGGGUAAGUGUCUGAGGGGAGGGGGCACUUACAAGUUAUUCCAUUUAAUGCUAAUUCGAGGCUUCCAGAUUCAUUUUGGGGCAAUCAAAGAGCAAGAGCUCUAUGCGUGGCUUUUUAAAACACAAAGAAAAUUGGGAAGCAUGGGCUUCCCAAUUUUCCUGCGCAUAAACUUCUAGAACAAUUUCUAUUGUUGAUACUUUAAAAAAAAUCUUUUUCUUUUCUGUGAUGUGGUCUUUUAAACUCAUAGCACAACUUAUGGCUCCCUGUACUUCCUAUAUUUUAAUUGAUCUUGAGGUUAUUUUCAAGUCACUGGGCUUAACGAACAAAUAUUUUAGAAUUUCUUCCUUUAUAUACACUCAUUUCUGUCUCAAUAAAAUGUCUAAUCAGGAAUUCACAUGUGUAGAAAAUAAAAAAUAGAAGUACAUACCCUUAAA